GCCGGGGUGGCGGAACUGGCAGACGCAGGGGACUCAAAAUCCCCCGGGCUUCGGCUCUUGCGGGUUCGACUCCCGCCCUCGGCA
Molecule: transfer RNA, 84 nt
Filed under: Gemmatimonadota bacterium
Lineage: Bacteria; Pseudomonadati; Gemmatimonadota
Description: Gemmatimonadetes bacterium (freshwater metagenome) tRNA-Leu
Rfam family: tRNA
About the family: Transfer RNA (tRNA) molecules are approximately 80 nucleotides in length. Their secondary structure includes four short double-helical elements and three loops (D, anti-codon, and T loops).
Source: RNAcentral